CCGUCGAAGUCCGAUGAUAAGACCAGCGGCUCAUAACCGCUUGGUUGGGAGUUCGAGUCUCUCCAGGCCCACCA
RNAcentral lists this transfer RNA (74 nucleotides) under Bradyrhizobium lupini HPC(L). RNAcentral describes it as "tRNA-OTHER". Lineage: Bacteria; Pseudomonadati; Pseudomonadota; Alphaproteobacteria; Hyphomicrobiales; Nitrobacteraceae. The record is from RNAcentral.